This is a non-coding RNA of Podarcis lilfordi (Lilford's wall lizard), 73 nucleotides long. Lineage: Eukaryota; Metazoa; Chordata; Lepidosauria; Squamata; Lacertidae. The record is from the annotation of a GenBank genome assembly.
GCCUGGAUAGCUCAGUAUGUAGAGCGUGAGACUCUUAAUCUCAAGGUCAUGGGUUCGAGCCCCACGUUGGGCA